GGGGAUUUAGCUCAGUGGUAGAGCGCUUGCCUAGGAAGCGCAAGGCCCUCUGGGUUCGGUCCCCAGCUCCG
This is a non-coding RNA of Rattus norvegicus (Norway rat), 71 nucleotides long. Lineage: Eukaryota; Metazoa; Chordata; Mammalia; Rodentia; Muridae. The record is from Rfam.